GGCGGAACUGUGGGAGGCAGUGGAGUCGGCUGCCGCCGGGCUCCUGGCCACAAGGGGGCGCAUCUCCUCCACUGUCUCCCGCAGCCUGAGGACUGCGCUGCUAUUGCAGAUGGAGGAGCUGUGUCAAUGACACGGAAGCUGCCUCUUGUAGAGAGAGAUGGCACUGGCUGCAGCUAGGGGGAGCUCCAGAGCACAGCUCCUCCCGGGCCCUUAGUAAGCCAGCCGAGGGAAGCUCAGAACUCUCUGCUCCUCCAUGCUCUGGAUGAUAGCCAAAGACAGCUGAAUCCCGCCCUGCCCGUUUUUGUGCGCCCUGCCGCCCCGCCGUUUGCUGCCUGCCGGACCCCGCCACGUCGCCGGAUCCAGCCGUGCGCCGCCGGACCCGGGGAAAUAAAAUCACCAAUUCAAUUAUCAACAGCUUCCAAACACUGUUUUCAGACUACAUCCUCUUGUUGCAGCAACAUUGCACAAAAGACUUCUGAUCGUCCCAACAAUCCAUAUAUUCUAUACAUAUCCUUGAUAGAUGAAAAUUAGGAAGUAACAACCAGUAUAUAACACAUCAGUUUAUUAUUUCUUCGGCUUUACAAUUCAAUAACCUAUUACAAUGGAUUGUAAAUUGCUCCGACUUUGGUAUAUAAGCCUUGCAUAACGAUACAAGUGUGAAAGUUCUGAGCAUAUAACACUGCUUUCUCAUCUCUGCACUGAUGUCUACUAAUAAAUAUCAGCCCAUUAGUUCAGCAAUACUAUUAUAGGGGAAAAAAUUAUUCUUCAUUAUUGUUAAGCAUGGCAUACCCAAUUUAAA
Molecule: long non-coding RNA, 799 nt
Organism: Pseudophryne corroboree (corroboree frog)
Lineage: Eukaryota; Metazoa; Chordata; Amphibia; Anura; Myobatrachidae
Exons: 3
Source: RefSeq, a predicted model, not a curated record